AUGCCGCCCACCGCCGCUCGCAAAGGACUGGCCUCCCUCAUCAUCCUCACCGCAUGGUGGCUUUGGAAGCAUCGGAACGGUUGUGUCUUUGACGGUGACCGACCAUCAGUCUCGUGCCUAUGCUCUAUAAUCAAGGACGAAGCGCAUCUUUGGGCCAGGGCCGCCGCCACGCAAGAAGGAACAUUAUCCCAGAGAGUUAGACUAGGCCAUGGUGGGAUGAGCAGCCCCAUCUGUCUGCUCCGUGAUCACUUCCAUGCCUUGUUGCGCACAUGGCUUAGUGUAUCGUGA
RNAcentral lists this ribosomal RNA (288 nucleotides) under Triticum aestivum (bread wheat). RNAcentral describes it as "partial small subunit ribosomal RNA". The record is from RNAcentral. Lineage: Eukaryota; Viridiplantae; Streptophyta; Magnoliopsida; Poales; Poaceae.